UACGUAGGGGGCAAGCGUUGUCCGGAUUUAUUGGGCGUAAAGAGCGCGUAGGCGGCUUGAUAAGCGUGCGGUGAAAGCCCGGGGCUCAACCCCGGGUCGGCCGUGCGAACUGUCGAGCUGGAGCACUGUAGAGGCAGGUGGAAUUCCGGGUGUAGCGGUGGAAUGCGUAGAGAUCCGGAAGAACACCGGUGGCGAAGGCGGCCUGCUGGGCAGUGGCUGACGCUGAGGCGCGACAGCGUGGGGAGCAAACAGG
RNAcentral lists this ribosomal RNA (253 nucleotides) under uncultured bacterium. RNAcentral's name for it is "partial 16S ribosomal RNA". It matches the Rfam family "Bacterial small subunit ribosomal RNA", at positions 524 to 776 of the family's 1533-position model. The record is from RNAcentral.